RNAcentral lists this ribosomal RNA (292 nucleotides) under uncultured bacterium. RNAcentral's name for it is "partial 16S ribosomal RNA". It matches the Rfam family "Bacterial small subunit ribosomal RNA", at positions 505 to 796 of the family's 1533-position model. The record is from RNAcentral.
GUGUCAGCCGCCGCGGUAAUACAGAGACUGCAAGCGUUGUUCGGAUUCACUGGGCGUAAAGGGUGCGCAGGCGGCCAAGUGUGUCAGGUGUGAAAGCUCGAGGCUUAACCUCGAAACUGCGCCUGAAACUAUUUGGCUAGAGUACUGGAGAGGGAAGUGGAAUUCACGGUGUAGCAGUGAAAUGCGUAGAUAUCGUGAGGAACACCAAUGGCGAAGGCAACUUCCUGGACAGUUACUGACGCUCAGGCACGAAAGCGUGGGGAGCAAAAGGGAUUAGAUACCCGCGUAGUCC